GUCUCCACCAUGGCCUGGACCCUUCUCUUCCUGGGCCUUCUGGCUCACUGCACAGGGUCUGUGGCCUCCUAUGAGCUCAUCCAGCCACCCUCGGUGUCAGUGGCCCUGGGAUAGACAGCCAGUAUCACCUGUGGUGGAAACAAUAUCGGAGGCAAAAAUGCUUACUGGUACCAGCAAAAGCCAGGCCAGUCCCCUGUGCUGGUCAUCUAUGGUGAUAGCAGCCGGCCCUCAGGGAUCCCUGAGCGAUUCUCAGGCUCCAACUCAGGGAACACGGCCACCCUGACCAUCAGCAGGGCCCAGGCUGGGGACGAGGCUGACUAUCACUGUCAGGUGUGGGACAGCAACACUGCUCACAGUGACACAGGCAGAUGGGGAAGUGAGACACUAACUCCUGCCCCAUCUGUGUCACUCUUUCACUCCUGUCAAGGAGGAUUGUAG
Nycticebus coucang (slow loris) is the source of this 438-nucleotide RNA transcript. It is a transcript of the gene named immunoglobulin lambda variable 3-9-like, with no coding region annotated. The record is from RefSeq and is a predicted model, not a curated record. The transcript has 2 exons. NCBI's taxonomy places the organism in Eukaryota, Metazoa, Chordata, Mammalia, Primates, Lorisidae.